This 207-nucleotide ribosomal RNA is filed under the name uncultured bacterium. RNAcentral's name for it is "partial 16S ribosomal RNA". It matches the Rfam family "Bacterial small subunit ribosomal RNA", at positions 568 to 774 of the family's 1533-position model. The record is from RNAcentral.
UGCGCAGGCGGUUUUGUAAGUCGGAUGUGAAAUCCCCGGGCUCAACCUGAGAACUGCGUUCGAAACUGCAAGGCUAGAGUGUGUCAGAGGGGGGUAGAAUUCCACGUGUAGCAGUGAAAUGCGUAGAGAUGUGGAGGAAUACCAAUGGCGAAGGCAGCCCCCUGGGAUAACACUGACGCUCAUGCACGAAAGCGUGGGGAGCAAACA